Molecule: ribosomal RNA, 253 nt
Filed under: uncultured bacterium
Lineage: Bacteria
Description: partial 16S ribosomal RNA
Rfam family: Bacterial small subunit ribosomal RNA
Source: RNAcentral
UACGUAGGGUGCGAGCGUUAAUCGGAAUUACUGGGCGUAAAGGGUGCGCAGGCGGCGUCGCAAGUCAGGCGUGAAAUCCCCGGGUUUAACCUGGGAACUGCACUUGAAACUACGAUGCUGGAGUAUGGCAGAGGGAGGUGGAAUUCCACGUGUAGCGGUGAAAUGCGUAGAGAUGUGGAGGAACACCGAUGGCGAAGGCAGCCUCCUGGGCCAAUACUGACGCUCAUGCACGAAAGCGUGGGGAGCAAACAGG